AGAGUUUGUUUCUGGCUCAGGAUGAACGCUGGCGGCGUGCCUAACACAUGCAAGUCGAACGAAGCGCCCGCGCGGAUUCCCUCGAGAUGAAGCGCGAAUGACUGAGUGGCGGACGGGUGAGUCACGCGUGGGCAACCUGCCCCGUGCCGGGGGACAACAGCCGGAAACGGCUGCUAAUACCGCAUGAUCCGGAAGGGCCGCAUGGCCUUUCCGGGAAAGCUCCGGCGGCACGGGAUGGGCCCGCGUCUGAUUAGUUUGUUGGCGGGGUAACGGCCCACCAAGACUGCGAUCAGCAGCCGGCCUGAGAGGGCGGCCGGCCACAUUGGGACUGAGACACGGCCCAGACUCCUGCGGGAGGCAGCAGUGGGGAAUAUUGCACAAUGGGGGAAACCCUGAUGCAGCGACGCCGCGUGGGCGACGAAGCGCUCCGGCGCGUAAAGCCCUGUCAGCAGGGAAGAACAAAGACAGUACCUGACCAAGAAGCCCCGGCUAACUACGUGCCAGCAGCCGCGGUAAUACGUAGGGGGCAAGCGUUAUCCGGAUUCACUGGGCGUAAAGGGAGCGCAGGCGGCACGGCAAGUCUGGUGUGAAAGCCCGGGGCCCAACCCCGGGACUGCAUUGGAAACUGCCGGGCUGGAGUGCCGGAGGGGUAAGCGGAAUUCCUGGUGUAGCGGUGAAAUGCGCAGAUAUCAGGAAGAACACCGGUGGCGUAGGCGGCUUACUGGACGGCAACUGACGCUGAGGCUCGAAAGCGUGGGGAGCAAACAGGAUUAGAUACCCUGGUAGUCCACGCCGUAAACG
This 801-nucleotide ribosomal RNA is filed under the name uncultured bacterium. Its description in RNAcentral is "bacterial SSU rRNA". It matches the Rfam family "Bacterial small subunit ribosomal RNA", at positions 8 to 808 of the family's 1533-position model. The record is from RNAcentral.